ACGGCUCAGUAACACGUAGUCAACAUGCCCAGGGGACGUGGAUAACCUCGGGAAACUGAGGAUAAACCGCGAUAAGUCACUACUUCUGGAAUGGGUAAUGACUAAAAUCUACAUGGCCCCUGGAUUGGACUGCGGCCGAUCAGGCUGUUGGUGAGGUAAUGGCCCACCAAACCUGUAACCGGUACGGGCUCUGAGAGGAGGAGCCCGGAGAUGGGCACUGAGACAAGGGCCCAGGCCCUAUGGGGCGCAGCAGGCGCGAAACCUCUGCAAUAGGCGAAAGCCUGACAGGGUUACUCUGAGUGAUUUCCGUUAAGGAGAUCUUUUGGCACCUCUAAAAAUGGUGCAGAAUAAGGGGUGGGCAAGUCUGGUGUCAGCCGCCGCGGUAAUACCAGCACCCCGAGUGGUCGGGACGUUUAUUGGGCCUAAAGCAUCCGUAGCCGGUUCUACAAGUCUUCCGUUAAAUCCACCUGCUUAACAGAUGGGCUGCGGAAGAUACUAUAGAGCUAGGAGGCGGGAGAGGCAAGCGGUACUCGAUGGGUAGGGGUAAAAUCCGUUGAUCCACUGAAGACCACCAGUGGCGAAGGCAGCUUGCCAGAACGCGCUCGACGGUGAGGGAUGAAAGCUGGGGGAGCAAACCGGAUUAGAUACCCGGGUAGUCCCAGCUGUAAACGAUGCAGACUCGGUGAUGAGUUGGCUUCUUGCCAACUCAGUGCCGCAGGGAAGCCGUUAAGUUUGCCGCCCGGGGAGUACGGUCGCAAGACUGAAACUUAAAGGAAUUGGCGGGGGAGCAC
This 791-nucleotide ribosomal RNA is filed under the name uncultured archaeon. RNAcentral describes it as "bacterial SSU rRNA". It matches the Rfam family "Archaeal small subunit ribosomal RNA", at positions 85 to 879 of the family's 1478-position model. The record is from RNAcentral.